Molecule: ribosomal RNA, 489 nt
Filed under: uncultured bacterium
Lineage: Bacteria
Description: partial 16S ribosomal RNA
Rfam family: Bacterial small subunit ribosomal RNA
Source: RNAcentral
GACGAACGCUGGCGGCGUGCUUAACACAUGCAAGUGGUGCGACGAACCAGGCUUCGGCCUGGGGCAGGGCCGCGAACGGGUGAGUAACACGUGGGCAACCUGCCCUGUUGAUCGGGACAACCCGGGGAAACCCGGGCUAAUACCGAAUGUGGUGCCGGCUCAUGAGAGCCGUCACGAAAGGAAGCUUCGGCCUCCGCGACAGGAUGGGCCCGCGGCCUAUCAGCUUGUUGGUGAGGUAACGGCUCACCAAGGCUACGACGGGUAACCGGCCUGAGAGGGCGACCGGUCACACUGGGACUGAGACACGGCCCAGACUCCUACGGGAGGCAGCAGUGGGGAAUAUUGCGCAAUGGGCGAAAGCCUGACGCAGCGACGCCGCGUGAGGGAUGAAGGUCUUCGGAUCGUAAACCUCUUUCAGUAGGGACGAAGCGAAAGUGAUGGUACCUAAAGAAGAAGCACCGGCUAACUACGUGCCAGCAGCCGCAGUAA